GAUGAACGCUGGCGGCGUGCCUAAUACAUGCAAGUCGAACGGACAGACGAGGAGCUUUCUCCUCUGACGUUAGCGGCGGACGGGUGAGUAACACGUGGAUAACCUACCUAUAAGACUUGGAUAACUUCGGGAAAACGGAGCUAAUACCGGAUAAUAUAUUGAACCGCAUGGUUCAAUAGUGAAAGACGGUUUUGCUGUCACUUAUAGAUGGAUCCGCGCCGCAUUAGCUAGUUGGUAAGGUAACGGCUUACCAAGGCAACGAUGCGUAGCCGACCUGAGAGGGUGAUCGGCCACACUGGAACUGAGACACGGUCCAGACUCCUACGGGAGGCAGCAGUAGGGAAUCUUCCGCAAUGGGCGAAAGCCUGACGGAGCAACGCCGCGUGAGUGAUGAAGGUCUUCGGAUCGUAAAACUCUGUUAUUAGGGAAGAACAAAUGUGUAAGUAACUAUGCACGUCUUGACGGUACCUAAUCAGAAAGCCACGGCUAACUACGUG
This 497-nucleotide ribosomal RNA is filed under the name uncultured bacterium. RNAcentral describes it as "partial 16S ribosomal RNA". It matches the Rfam family "Bacterial small subunit ribosomal RNA", at positions 28 to 507 of the family's 1533-position model. The record is from RNAcentral.